RNAcentral lists this long non-coding RNA (980 nucleotides) under Homo sapiens (human). Its description in RNAcentral is "PREDICTED lncRNA (TCONS_00125839)". The record is from RNAcentral. Lineage: Eukaryota; Metazoa; Chordata; Mammalia; Primates; Hominidae.
CCACCCCAGCUGCUCAACGCGAUUUCCCUUCGCGCUUCUCCGCACCGGGAUCCCCAGUCCCUCAGGUUCCGACAGACCCUCCUGUCAGGCCCAUUCUCCGGGCCCCCUCAGUUGCAGUGUUAAGAUCAACAGUGUUAAGAUUAAAGCCUUGUGAUGUGCUAGCCACUACGCUGAGGAUAUGCCGUGUACUAAAAUUCCUCAGGACUCCUCACAGCUGCCCUGUAAGGAAGCGGCCAUGGCCGGGUUCUAGCGAUGCGAGGCCGAGGCUCGGGGCGCUGAGUAGCCUAGCGCGUCGCCGAGGAGAGCUGGCACGUGAACCCCUUGUCGUUUGCCGUCAGAGGUGUUAUGUGGUGGCCCUCAUUCUCCAUGCAUGGAGCAGACUCUAGGAUCUGCAGUUACUGUAUGAUGAGCCCUUCUGAGUAUUUUGCUUGGGUGGACAGUUUAUGUGUCAGGUAUGUGUAUUUAUAAUUAAAAUCAAAUAUUAUUACAUAGGCUUUGCACCUGGCGAGGUAACAUUGAGAGUAGUUAAUCUCUAGACUGGAAUCCAUCUGGAAGACCACUCAAUAACUUGUGAUUAGCUGGACCUGGUGAUGCAAGCCUGGAGUCCCAGUUACCCGGAGGCUGAGGUGGGAAUAUCGCUUGAGACCAGGAGUUUGAGGCUACAGUGAGCUGUGAUUGUACCACUGCACUCCAGCCUGGGUGACAGUGCAAGACCUCAUCUCUUAAAAAAAACAAACAACUCAAAAAACCUCAUCAUUGAGCACCUAUGAUGUGCCAGCAACUGUACUCAGUGGUGGGGACUUGACGACAAACAAACCAGGGAUGGGAUCCUUGAGCAGUCACCAUCUGACAAGUGACUGGGAAAGAUGAAUAAUGCCCUUCACCAAGAUUCUUCUCUGAUCCACAAAUUCAAUUACCAAUUUAUUUGUUCACUGCUCUUAAACUUAAAUAUUUUUUAGUAGGUAAUAAAGACAUGUUUA